Molecule: ribosomal RNA, 484 nt
Filed under: uncultured bacterium
Lineage: Bacteria
Description: partial 16S ribosomal RNA
Rfam family: Bacterial small subunit ribosomal RNA
Source: RNAcentral
AUUGAACGCUGGCGGCAGGCCUAACACAUGCAAGUCGAGCGGAUGAAGGGAGCUUGCUCCUGGAUUCAGCGGCGGACGGGUGAGUAAUGCCUAGGAAUCUGCCUGGUAGUGGGGGAUAACGUCCGGAAACGGGCGCUAAUACCGCAUACGUCCUGAGGGAGAAAGUGGGGGAUCUUCGGACCUCACGCUAUCAGAUGAGCCUAGGUCGGAUUAGCUAGUUGGUGGGGUAAAGGCCUACCAAGGCGACCAUCCGUAACUGGUCUGAGAGGAUGAUCAGUCACACUGGAACUGAGACACGGUCCAGACUCCUACGGGAGGCAGCAGUGGGGAAUAUUGGACAAUGGGCGAAAGCCUGAUCCAGCCAUGCCGCGUGUGUGAAGAAGGUCUUCGGAUUGUAAAGCACUUUAAGUUGGGAGGAAGGGCAGUAAGUUAAUACCUUGCUGUUUUGACGUUACCAACAGAAUAAGCACCGGCUAACUUCGUG